This 253-nucleotide ribosomal RNA is filed under the name uncultured bacterium. Its description in RNAcentral is "partial 16S ribosomal RNA". It matches the Rfam family "Bacterial small subunit ribosomal RNA", at positions 524 to 776 of the family's 1533-position model. The record is from RNAcentral.
UACGUAGGGUGCGAGCGUUAAUCGGAAUUACUGGGCGUAAAGCGUGCGCAGGCGGCGCGUUAAGACAGGUGUGAAAGCCCCGAGCUUAACUUGGGAAUUGCGCUUAUGACUGGCGUGCUGGAGUGUGGCAGAGGGAGGUGGAAUUCCACGUGUAGCAGUGAAAUGCGUAGAGAUGUGGAGGAACACCGAUGGCGAAGGCAGCCUCCUGGGCCAGCACUGACGCUCAUGCACGAAAGCGUGGGGAGCAAACAGG